CAAUAGCGUAUAUUAAAGUUGUUGCAGUUAAAAAGCUCGUAGUUGGAUUUCUGGUUGAAGCGACCGGUCGGGCGUUGAUUCGUCUGCACUGGAGUCGGUUUUGGCCAUCCUCUAGGAAAGUGCGUCUGGUAUUAAGUUAUCGGGCGUAUGAUCCUGGUCUUUUACUGUGAAAAAAUUAGAGUGUUUAAAGCAGGCCUUCGCCUUGAAUACAUUAGCAUGGAAUAAUAAGAUAGGACUUUGUUCUAUUUUGUUGGUUUGCAGACCGAAGUAAUGAUUAAUAGGGAUAGUUGGGGGUAUUUAUAUUCCGAUGUCAGAGGUGAAAUUCUUAGAUUUUCGGAAGAUAAACUUAUGCGAAAGCAUUUACCAAGGAUGUUUUCAUUAA
RNAcentral lists this ribosomal RNA (382 nucleotides) under uncultured eukaryote. Its description in RNAcentral is "partial 18S ribosomal RNA". It matches the Rfam family "Eukaryotic small subunit ribosomal RNA", at positions 592 to 976 of the family's 1831-position model. The record is from RNAcentral.